GUGACAGGGGCAGGGUCACAGAGUCUGGCGGAGUGGAAACAGCUUGGCCCCGGCAGGAGGCUAGAAGGGCUGGAAUCUGUUUUAGGACUGGGAUUGGAGUAUAACGGGGGAACGGUUAAGGAGCUGUGGAGGAGGCCUAGAGGGAAUGGAGAGAAUGAGGGAGAAUCUAGGGAGUGUGAGGAUGCGGGAGAACUAUCUAAAAGUUGGGGACAGUAUCUGGGGAGGAUCAGAAGGAUACAACAUGGAACUUUUUUCCAUGGUGUUCCUGGGAAGGACAAGGAAGGGAAACUGACAUUUAUUGAGCGUUUGCUAUGUAAGAAAGAGGCUGAGUCAGGUGUUUUCUAAAAAUGUCAUAUGGUUUCAUAAUCACAGCAACCCUAUGAAAUAUUAUUCUAGUUGCACAGAUACGGGAGCUAAGACUUGUUUCCCAUUCUCACAAGUGUUAGCUUUGUGGAAAUGGGAAACAGACCUCUGGAAUCUCUUAUACUUAGCCCAGCGGUGGGUUGGAGAUGGCACGGAAUUAAAGAUUUGGGAAGAGACUGAAUCACCGUCACACUCCUCACUUUUGUGCUAUAGUGGAUCAAUCUUCCUGUCCUACAACUGACAAAGGAUCCCCUAAAGACCCCUGGAAGGCUGGACCAUGGCACAAGAACUGCCUUCAUCCAUCACCGGGAGCAAGUGUGGAAGAGAUGCAUCAACAUUUGGCGUGAUGUGGGCCUUUUUGGGGUGCUAAAUGAAAUUGCAAACUCAGAAGAAGAGGUGUUUGAGUGGGUGAAGACGGCAUCCGGCUGGGCCCUGGCACUCUGUCGAUGGGCCUCUUCCCUCCAUGGGUCCCUGUUCCCCCAUCUGUCUCUCAGGAGCGAAGAUCUGAUCGCUGAAUUUGCCCAAGUCACAAAUUGGUCCAGCUGCUGCUUGCGUGUCUUUGCAUGGCACCCCCACACCAACAAGUUUGCAGUGGCCCUGCUAGAUGACUCAGUCCGUGUGUAUAAUGCCAGCAGCACCAUAGUCCCCUCCCUGAAGCACCGGCUGCAGCGAAAUGUGGCGUCUCUGGCCUGGAAGCCCCUUAGUGCCUCUGUCUUGGCUGUGGCCUGCCAGAGCUGCAUUCUUAUCUGGACCCUGGACCCUACCUCCUUGUCUACCCGACCCUCUUCUGGCUGUGCCCAAGUGCUGUCUCACCCUGGGCAUACACCUGUUACCAGCUUGGCCUGGGCCCCCAGUGGGGGGCGGCUGCUCUCAGCUUCACCCGUGGAUGCUGCUAUCCGGGUAUGGGAUGUCUCAACAGAGACCUGUGUCCCCCUUCCCUGGUUCCGAGGAGGUGGGGUGACCAACCUGCUCUGGUCCCCAGACGGCAGCAAAAUCCUGGCUACCACUCCUUCAGCUGUCUUUCGAGUCUGGGAGGCCCAGAUGUGGACUUGUGAGAGGUGGCCUACUCUAUCAGGGCGCUGUCAGACAUACCUUCUCCUGCCUUUUGCUCCCUGACCCCAGACUGGCUGCUGGAGCCCAGAUGGCAGCCGACUGCUGUUCACUGUAUUGGGAGAGCCACUGAUUUACUCCCUGUCUUUUCCAGAACGUUGUGGUGAGGGAAAGGGGUGCGUUGGAGGUGCAAAGUCAGCAACGAUUGUGGCAGAUCUGUCUGAGACAACAAUACAGACACCAGAUGGUGAGGAGAGGCUUGGGGGAGAGGCUCACUCCAUGGUCUGGGACCCCAGUGGGGAACGUCUGGCUGUGCUUAUGAAAGGAAAGCCAAGGGUACAGGAUGGUAAACCAGUCAUCCUCCUUUUUCGCACUCGAAACAGCCCUGUGUUUGAGCUCCUUCCCUGUGGCAUUAUCCAGGGGGAGCCAGGAGCCCAGCCCCAGCUCAUCACUUUCCAUCCUUCCUUCAACAAAGGGGCCCUGCUCAGUGUGGGCUGGUCCACAGGCCGAAUUGCCCACAUCCCGCUGUACUUUGUCAAUGCCCAGUUUCCACGUUUUAGCCCAGUGCUUGGGCGGGCCCAGGAACCCCCUGCUGGGGGUGGAGGCUCUAUUCAUGACCUGCCCCUCUUUACUGAGACAUCCCCAACCUCUGCCCCUUGGGACCCUCUCCCAGGGCCACCACCUGUUC
RNAcentral lists this unclassified non-coding RNA (2101 nucleotides) under Homo sapiens (human). RNAcentral's name for it is "aladin WD repeat nucleoporin (ENSG00000291836.1)". Lineage: Eukaryota; Metazoa; Chordata; Mammalia; Primates; Hominidae. The record is from RNAcentral.